AAUCAACGCUGGCGGCGUGCCUCAGACAUGCAAGUCGAACGUGAAAGUUCCUUCGGGAAUGAGUAAAGUGGCGCACGGGUGAGUAACACGUGGGUAAUUUGCCUUCGGGUGGGGAAUACCAACCGGAAACGGUUGUUAAUACCGCAUGAUGCAGCGGCUCGACAUCGAGACAGUUGUUAAAGCGGGGGAGCGGAGCAAUCCGUCCUCGCGCCUGAAGAGAAGCCCGCGGCGGAUAGGUAGUUGGUGAGGUAAUGGCUCACCAAGCCCGCGAUCCGUAACCGACCUGAGAGGGUGGUCGGUCACACUGACACUGACAUACGGGUCAGACUCCUACGGGAGGCAGCAGUCGGGAAUUUUGGGCAAUGGGCGCAAGCCUGACCCAGCAACGCCGCGUGAA
This 397-nucleotide ribosomal RNA is filed under the name uncultured bacterium. RNAcentral's name for it is "bacterial SSU rRNA". It matches the Rfam family "Bacterial small subunit ribosomal RNA", at positions 32 to 405 of the family's 1533-position model. The record is from RNAcentral.